AAUAGAUACCCGGGUAGUCCACGCCGUAAACGAUGAGUGCUAAGUGUUGGGGGGGUUUCCGCCCCUCAGUGCUGCAGCUAACGCAUUAAGCACUCCGCCUGGGGAGUACGGUCGCAAGACUGAAACUCAAAGGAAUUGACGGGGGGCCCGCACAAGCGGUGGAGCAUGUGGUUUAAUUCGAAGCAACGCGAAGAACCUUACCAGGUCUUGACAUCCCGGUGACCACUAUGGAGACAUAGUUUCCCCUUCGGGGGCAACGGUGACAGGUGGUGCAUGGUUGUCGUCAGCUCGUGUCGUGAGAUGUUGGGUUAAGUCCCGCAACGAGCGCAACCCUUAUUCUUAGUUGCCAUCAUUCAGUUGGGCACUCUAAGGAGACUGCCGGUGAUAAACCGGAGGAAGGUGGGGAUGACGUCAAAUCAUCAUGCCCCUUAUGACCGUGGGCUACACACGUGCUACAAUGGACGGUACAAACGGUUGCCAACCCGCGAGGGGGAGCUAAUCCGAUAAAACCGUUCUCAGUUCGGAUUGUAGGCUGCAACUCGCCUACA
RNAcentral lists this ribosomal RNA (548 nucleotides) under uncultured bacterium. RNAcentral's name for it is "bacterial SSU rRNA". It matches the Rfam family "Bacterial small subunit ribosomal RNA", at positions 777 to 1320 of the family's 1533-position model. The record is from RNAcentral.